AUUGAACGCUGGCGGCAGGCCUAACACAUGCAAGUCGAACGGUAACAGGAAACAGCUUGCUGUUUCGCUGACGAGUGGCGGACGGGUGAGUAAUGUCUGGGAAACUGCCUGAUGGAGGGGGAUAACUACUGGAAACGGUAGCUAAUACCGCAUAACGUCGCAAGACCAAAGAGGGGGACCUUCGGGCCUCUUGCCAUCGGAUGUGCCCAGAUGGGAUUAGCUAGUAGGUGGGGUAACGGCUCACCUAGGCGACGAUCCCUAGCUGGUCUGAGAGGAUGACCAGCCACACUGGAACUGAGACACGGUCCAGACUCCUACGGGAGGCAGCAGUGGGGAAUAUUGCACAAUGGGCGCAAGCCUGAUGCAGCCAUGCCGCGUGUAUGAAGAAGGCCUUCGGGUUGUAAAGUACUUUCAGCGGGGAGGAAGGGAGUAAAGUUAAUACCUUUGCUCAUUGACGUUACCCGCAGAAGAGGCACCGGCUAACUCCGUGCCAGCAGCCGCGGUAAUACGGAGGGUGCAAGCGUUAAUCGGAAUUACUGGGCGUAAAGCGCACGCAGGCGGUUUGUUAAGUCAGAUGUGAAAUCCCCGGGCUCAACCUGGGAACUGCAUCUGAUACUGGCAAGCUUGAGUCUCGUAGAGGGGGGUAGAAUUCCAGGUGUAGCGGUGAAAUGCGUAGAGAUCUGGAGGAAUACCGGUGGCGAAGGCGGCCCCCUGGACGAAGACUGACGCUCAGGUGCGAAAGCGUGGGGAGCAAACAGG
This 759-nucleotide ribosomal RNA is filed under the name uncultured Pseudomonadota bacterium. RNAcentral's name for it is "bacterial SSU rRNA". It matches the Rfam family "Bacterial small subunit ribosomal RNA", at positions 28 to 776 of the family's 1533-position model. Lineage: Bacteria; Pseudomonadati; Pseudomonadota. The record is from RNAcentral.